CCAUGAGCACACCUCAUCUAGAAAAGUGCACAAAUCAACAGUGUGUCUGUGUGUGUGUGUGUGUGUGUGUGUGUGUGUGUGUGUGUGUGUGUGUGUGUGUGUGCGCGCGCGCGUGUGUUCGUAAACUAUAAACAUACCCCUCCUCUCUCAGUCAUCAGAAGUCCUUCACCUUCUUCACCACUGCACUCCAUGAGCUCUGCUCUCUUCGCCUUGCAAAACAAUUUGAUCUGUUCUGAAUAUUUAGGGUUCUCUCUGUACCGUCGUUCCAGUUCCUUCAUCGCCUCCUCUGCCUUCUGCAAAGCCUCUGUGGCACCGACAUGCCUUUUAUUGCCCUGCUCUUUCCCAGGUCGGGCCUGCUGUAUAAGCUUGUUCACAUGCUCCAGCUGCUUGCUCACCUAUUAAACAUACAUUAAAACACACACACACACACACACACACACACACCCCUUCUCAUCUUCGAGAAUCUCUGGGAUUUUUAUCCAAACCCUCCAUGUUAUAAACUGAACAGUAGUAAUUAAAUAACUCCAAGUUACGUAUACAGUGGUGUAAUGUUUUGGAAUGGCCAAGUCAGAGUCCUGACCUGAAACAAGCAGUUCAUGUGAGGAAACCCACCAACAUCCCAGAGUUGAAGCUGUUCUGUACUGAGGAAUGGGAUAAAAACCCCAGAGUCGAUGUGCAGGACUGAUCAACAGUUACCCCAAACGUUUAUCUGCAGUUAUUACUGCACAAGGGUCUCACACCACAUACUCACAGCAAAGGUGCACAUACUUUUACCCUUCACAAAUAUGCAAUAUUGGAUCAUUUUCCUCAAUAAAUAAAUUUCCAAGUAUAAUAUUAUUGUCUUGUUUGUUUAACUGUGUUCUCUUUAUCUACUUUUAGGACUUGUGUGAAAAUCUGAUGAUGUUUUAGAUCAUAUUUAUGCAGAAAUGUAGAAAAUUCUAAAGGGUUCACAAACUUUCAAGCACCACUGUAUAUAUACACUGUCUGAAUUGACAUGUUGAUAAAGAUUGCAUUAUAUGUUGGUACUAUAAAAGAGCUUUUGUGUUUUUUCCUCAUUAUAAAGACACUUUAGUAAGCGCUCACUCUUGUCUAUUGUCUCACACUGAAGAUAAAAGUAAGAAAUCCAUCCAUCCAUUAUCUAUAGCGAUUAUCCUACAGGGUCACAGGGAACCUGGAUCCUGUCCCAGGGAGCAUGGGGCCCAAGGCAGGGGAAACCCUGGACAGGGUGGCAUCCAUCGCAGGGCACAAUCACAUACACACUCGCACACUACGGACACUUUCAGACAUGCCAAUCAGCCUACCAUGCAUGUCUUUGGUCUGGGGAAGGAAACCGGAGUACCCGGAGGAAACCACCACAACACGGGGAGAACAUGCAAACUCCACACACACAGGGUUUCAGGGGAAACCCCCGACCCUGGAGGUGUGAGGCGACCGUGCUAACCACUAAUCCACCGCACACACAAAAGUUUAAAAUGCAGAACAAUAAAAUAUAGAUGAUGUUUAAGAAGACGUGUCAGACGUCCUGAACUAGUGGUGCAGUGGGAAAAAUAAAUAAAUAAAUACAAAACAAAACACUUUAUUUUAUAUACACACACACACCAACACACACACACAUUCAGCUGCUUGAUGCAGUCCUACUUACCUUGAUGAACUCCUGAUGGACUACAUUCUUCUGGUAUUUUAUACAUAGAAAGAGAAGAGUCACCAGCAGAAUCACCACCACCGUCACUAUGAGUCCAAUUAUCCACCGAGGAAACUUCUCAUCUACAAAGACACACACACACACACACAUUACACCUAUCCGUGACAUUUCCCCUGCAGACCGCCAGGUUGCACCCUCCCUGAGACACACUGAGACACACUGAGACGUACCUGUCACAGCGACGGAGUACACACGGAUGUCUUCUUUAUUCUCCGUGUCCCGGAUGGUGUAACGUCCACUAUCACUGUACGUCACGUCUCUCAGUGUGAGCUCUGGGUAACUGAGUGAUGUUCUGUGUGUGUAUUCAGCUUUACACUGUAGUGAGUGUUGAGUCCCGUUACAGAUCCGUUCACCAUCAGCUGAAUCACUGCUUGUAUAAAUCACCUCCACUGGCUCUGGUACGGUCAGAUCCAGGAUCAGAUCUUCACCAGGGUUCUUCUGAACUGCUGAGAACACGGCUGAGGAGAAAACACAUUCAGCUGUAUUUAGAUUGAAAAAGAAAUCAUUCAAGCUGCAUUCAGAGUCCAGAAAUUGCGUGGGGAAAGUUCACACUUCUGAGGUUGCCAGAUUUUUCUUUAGUAGAAGUUUCAGAGACAGGGUUUUAUAAAAGUGUGAAGACCAUCACCUUUAAAUACAACCAUCUUCAUACCUGAAAAAAAUCAGGGAUAGAAAAUGUGGACUGAAGAAGGAAAUUAUAUUUUUCUUUGCUGUAAAAUGUAAAUUGCCGUAUGUCCAAGAAGCAUCUCCUCCGAUGUCCACUGUGUGAAAAACCCUUUUGUGCAAAGUGAAAAUAUGAUAAGUUCAUUAAUACUGAUGUGUGUGAUUUCAGUACUAAACCCUGACUGUGUGAUUAACUCCACUCUGAAAAUGAUCCUAAUCAUUCAGACUGAAUGUUUUAUCCGCAGUAGAAGAGAUAAAGACACUCACUCUCAAUGCUGAGGCGCACAGUAGAGAUUUCUGAGACGCCACACUCACACGAGUACGUGUUCCUCAUUCUGUAAUCAGCUGCAGUGAUGAUGAGAGAGAGAUCUCCAUCCUGGUACUGAUCAUAAGACAUAUUAUAUCCCUUCACCAGUGAGCUGCAUGACGUAUCAUUACACCGAGCGAAGACAACAUCUCGAUUAUUAAAUAAAGACCAUUUGACUGAACCAGAACAUUUAUAUUCACAUGAGAGAGUCACAGGCUGAUGAAGCUUCACUGUUUUAGAACAGACCGCAGAUAAUACCGGAGCUGAAACAGAGAAGAAGCUGACAGUGAGAGUGUGCAUGUAGAGUGAGAGUGUAGAGUGAGAGUGUGCAGUGAGAGUGUAGAGUGAGAGUGUACAGUGAGAGUGAGAGUGUACAGUGAGAGUGAGAGUGAGAGUGUGCAGUGAGAGUGUAGAGUGAGAGUGUAGAGUGAGAGUGAGAGUGUAGAGUGAGAGUGUACAGUGAGAGUGAGAGUGUACAGUGAGAGUGAGAGUGUACAGUGAGAGUGUAGAGUGAGAGUGUGCAGUGAGAGUGAGAGUGAGAGUGUAGAGUGAGAGUGUAGAGUGAGAGUGAGAGUGUAGAGUGAGAGUGUAGAGUGAGAGUGUACAGUGAGAGUGAGAGUGUAGAGUGAGAGUGUGCAGUGAGAGUGUAGAGUGAGAGUGAGAGUGUAGAGUGAGAGUGUACAGUGAGAGUGUACAGUGAGAGUGAGAGUGUAGAGUGAGAGUGUGCAGUGAGAGUGUACAGUGAGAGUGUACAGUGAGAGUGAGAGUGUAGAGUGAGAGUGUACAGUGAGAGUGUACAGUGAGAGUGAGAGUGUACAGUGAGAGUGAGCAGUGAGAGUGUAGAGUGUAGAGUGAGAGUGUAGAGUGAGAGUGUAGAGUGAGAGUGUAGAGUGAGAGUGUAGAGUGAGAGUGAGAGUGUGCAGUGAGAGUGUAGAGUGAGAGUGUAGAGUGAGAGUGUAGAGAGUGUGCAGUGACAGUGAGAGUGUACAGUGAGACUGUAGAGUGUACAGUGAGAGUGUAGAGUGAGAGUGUAGAGUGAGAGUGUACAGUGAGAGUGUACAGUGAGAGUGUAGAGUGAGAGUGUAGAGUGAGAGUGAGAGUGUAGAGAGUGUAGAGUGAGAGUGUAGAGUGAGAGUGUAGAGUGAGAGUGUACAGUGAGAG
Long non-coding RNA from Ictalurus punctatus (channel catfish), 3830 nucleotides. Lineage: Eukaryota; Metazoa; Chordata; Actinopteri; Siluriformes; Ictaluridae. The record is from Ensembl.